UACGUAGGUGACCAGCGUUGUCCGGAUUUACUGGGCGUAAAGAGCGCGCAGGCGGUCGUUCAAGUCGAGUGUGAAAGCCCCCGGCUCAACUGGGGAGGGUCAUUCGAUACUGAUCGACUUGAAGGCAGGAGAGGGAAGUGGAAUUCCAGGUGUAGCGGUGAAAUGCGUAGAUAUCUGGAGGAAUACCGGUGGCGAAGGCGGCUCUCUGGGACGGUACUGACGCUGAGACGCGAAAGCGUGGGGAGCGAACAGG
Molecule: ribosomal RNA, 253 nt
Filed under: uncultured bacterium
Lineage: Bacteria
Description: partial 16S ribosomal RNA
Rfam family: Bacterial small subunit ribosomal RNA
Source: RNAcentral